GCGCCGAAGACGAUGAUAAGACCACCGCCAAGAUUAAGCGCAUUAAGAAAAGAACUAGUCGGUCUGAAAGAGCAUUAGUAAGGUUGAUUCGUACAAAGAAUGGGUUGUCGGAGAACAUGAUCAACGCAACACUGGUGGUAGCGGCGCUGGUCAUAACAGCGAUCUACCAAUCAUCUUUAAGCCCACCGAGAGGUCUUUGGCAAGGUGAUAACACGAGUAACCCCACCACCACCUCAAACCUUACUACUACCACUAAAUUUAAACUCUUUAACGACAAAUACGCUGAAAAACAUUCUAAACGUGUGUUGGGUAAUGAAACAAUGAAAACUGGUACGGCAAUCAUGAAUCCCAACUUGUUUUUAGGGUUUUGGUUAUUCAAUUUUAUAGCAUUUGGGCUUCCGGUUCUUCUAACCGUUUUCCUUUUAUACGAUGUAGCUCGUAUUCUUCUUCUCCCGCUUUAUUUUCUAUCCGUCUCCUACUUUAACUGCAUGACAAUAAUAUCUCCGUCCAUGUUUUGGGCAAACCUCAACUCUGUUGUCAUGUGGACAGCCAUUAUUCUCCCGUCUGUCUUAGUUUUUGGAGGCGUAUGGUUAUGUAUGCUGCCAAAGCACCGGGAAAUCAGACAAAUACGCAGACGUGUCCGCAAUGACAAUAAUAUCGGAAUAAUUCAGUACUUGCGAAUGUCAGUCUAACUUAUAUAUUAUAUUUAUGUACCCUUUUCCAUUUUCUCUGUAUUAAUAUCUUUUCUUUUUGAAAAAAGAAAAAACACUAUGUAAUUGCUUUGGAUAAAUUUAAUAAAAACAGAUAUAUUUGAAGUAUUGUUUGUUUAAAAUCCACUGAUUUCUAAAUGUGUUAAUAUCAUUUUCGAGUUAUUAAUUAAAAAUAUCUUUAACAUAAAGAUAUAUGUAAUAAUUACAUACUUAUUAUUUUAUCUAUAUAAUAAAAAGUUAUUGAUUAAAAAGAUGAAUUAAAAAAUUAGAAAAUAAUAUAUUUGUUAAUUAAAAGUACUAUUUUUUUAAAAAAAUAACAUGAGAUAAAAAUAUAAAUAUGCGUAGGAGAUGUCUCAAAAAUAAAAUGACUAACAUUUAACUAUUUGAUCAAAUGAAUUAAUGCGUCAAGUUAUUAAAAAAUAUAUAUUUUAUCCUACAAGAUGCAUUUUACAAAAUCAACUUAUUUCUAUAAAUAUUAAAAAAAUCUACCUAAUACUCUAAUUAUUUUCUAAAAAGGACAUAUAUUGCUAGUGUACCCUAAAACUAGGAUGCGCCACGCUUUCUAAAGCAAAUAAUAAUAAUACAUUAAUCUAAAUUUCAUGAGCCCUUUUCUUAAUUCUAAGAAAUAAAAUCUCUCAAAUAAAAAUAAUAAAUAAAAUAAUCUUAAGUCUCGUAUGCGAAAUUGAGUUUUUGUGUCAAAUUUGUAUAUUCGUUAUAGAAAUGAUAAAUUAAGUAAAAUUCAUGUCCAAAAUUAAUUAAAAUAAAUAAUAAAAAUAUAUUAUCAUCUAUAUUUUAUAAUAUUAACUAUCAUUUAAAUAUAUAUUGUCUACUUUAUAACAUAAAUAUUUUAUCUUUUAAAAAAUACUCUUCUUCUUCUUUUUUACAAACAAAGACUGGACAUAUUUAUUGAAGUAAUACAACAAUGAGAAUAAAAAACAAAAACCAGCCAAAUAAAUAUAAACCCUAGGACUUAAAACAUUUUUCAUCUAAAAAUAAGAAUAUUAAAAUACUGAAAAACCUCCAAAUUUACCGUUAUCUACAUCCAUUACUAAUCGUAGACAGUGACAAAGACACUCGACAGAUGAUAAGCAAAAAAAAAGUACUCUUUUAACUACAAUACUAAAAGCGUCCGCUAACCAUUUUUCUAUUAAGAUAUUAAUCAAGACGGAUUAACUUAGUGUUAAAUCGAGUAAGUCUAGGGGUGGGCGGUGCAUUUAGUUUACUUUUUGUCUCACGCUACAGUAUCGUUACAGUAUCUAAUCUCACCGCCACCGCUGUUUUUAUACUAACCGCAGGUAAACCCACCACCCAUCCAAACUCACCCUAGAUUAAGUCCGUGGAUGAAUUUCCACAUCUUUUUUUAGGCAUUAAAUUGAGAGCCAAUCAGGACCUUCCCCUAAUUCCCCUUACCAAUCUAUAAAAAAUUGGAUCUUUGGUUUGAUUUUAUCAAUAAAAGAAAUUCCUUCCUCGGUUUCUUAAAUUUGAUAACUUUUAUUAUAUAAUAUAAUUUUGUUCACUUUUCAUCAAUAAUAGAAUAGAAAAUAGAUAGUUGCUUCCUAUUUCAGCAAUAUAAAUAGUUACCAUGUGUUUUUAUGUUUUUAAUUUUUAAUAUAAUUAAUGUUAUAACCCUCCUUAUGAAGCUAGUUAAUGUAAAGAAUAAUAAUUCUAAUUAUCUAUGCUUAAAAUUAAUUCAGUUGUGCUUUCAAUCAAUGUAUGAUUUUGAUAUUGCAAGAGGUGUCCAGCUAUGUGGUGAGAUCUUGAAGGUGUGUCUUUGUAACAACUUGAGAAGCUUUUUGGACUUUUUUCUUCUUCUUUUAGGUUUAUUAUUAGUAAAUGAAUUUUUGCUGCGAAAAAUUAGCCUAAAAACAAAAUAUAAAAAUGAUAGGAAAUAUGUUAAUUUUAGACGACAAUUAAUGACAUUGCAAUAUUACUUAACAACAUGAACAAUCCCCACCAUCGUAUUGUCAUUCCCAAGUAAUGGCGUAUUCUCUUUACUCGGAAAAUAUCCCUCCUAACGCUGGCCGAAAUUGGUUGAAACAUUAUGCAGCUAAUUUGGUAAGAUAAUGGACGUGUUUAUUGCAUCAAAAAGAUUUCGUUAGGUAUGGUAGGUUGGAAGAAGCAAAGAGAGCAUUGUGGAGUCUAGAUGGAAGGUGGUUCUCUAAUCAUAGAUUGACAGUCAGUAUGGCGAAGUUUAAACCUAGAGAUGAUUUGUGGAGGAAGGCAAAUGGGAGAGAGGUCAGACAACAUACAUAGAAUAUGGAAAGAAGAUGUGUUGAAGGAAAUACGGGGCCGCAUGCAAGUGAGAUUAUGGCAAAUAAUAAACAACAUGAAGAAAAUGACCCAAUCAAGUUGGACGAGAUGGUGGAAGAUUUAUGAAUUUCCAGAACAAAGUAGUAGAGGGAGCCAUUGAUGGAGAGAACUUGAAGUGGCUUGAAAAAUGUAUUGUGGGUAGAAUGAGAAACAAUGCUACUGUGGGGUUAUGGGGUGAUACUGGAAUUUAUAAAAUUGGAGUCCAAAGAUUAUCGGGUAAUGAUUUGUAUGAAUUGGAAGCCAAUGAAUGGGGAGAUGUUUUGCAAGUGUUUCAGAAAGUUGAACGGUGGACAACAAAGAUGAAAGAGUAAGGUGGUUAUCCUGUUACGAGAUUCCAAUACAUGGUCUUCGAGGAGGAAGUAGUUAAACAACUUGCUGCUAUUGAAUAGUAAAAUUGGUUUGAUUUAUUAUUUUUGGUGCAAACAAUCAACACUCAAACGGUCAAUCGGCUGUCGGGUAGAGCACGUGCAAAACCAACCUAGCAUAUGAGAAUAUAUCCAAAAGAAGAAACUUAUCCAAGUCCAACCCCCCACAAGUUCCCAGUCGGCUCAUCCCAUUGACCUUUCCACAACUUCGAAUUGAUUGGUGCAAUGCGAGGUCCAAUAUUGGAAGGAGAAUGGAAUCUUAACCGUGGGACCACACUUAAGCCGGCGUCCUAAAUGAUUAGAUGCGUGGAAGACGGUGGGUAUUCUUUCACCCAAUAACAUCACUACAUAUACACAAACCAUGUCUGCCCAUCUAGUGGGCUACUUGUGAUAAAACAGGAAAGCAAUGAAAAAUAAUAAUAUAAAGAAGAGAAAAACAAAAUCCUACACCUAAUAUAAUUUUUCCUAAAUACAAGAAAACAAGUUUUGGGAUAGAAAAUCAUAUCGAAGAUUAAACGAUUCAAUUCAUUUAGAUUUGAACGUUAAUUAAAUGAUUAAACAUUCAAAUCUCGUUAAAUUCAUGAACACAAUUUACAAGCUUUUUAUUAGUUAGAAUAUUCUCUAAUGCUUAAACGGUAUCAAUUCAAUCGAUUUAGUUCUUUUAUUAAGAACUAAGAACUGUCAGAGACAUUUUAAAAGGGUUACGUAUAGCAUGGGAGAAAAAGUUUUGUCAAUUAGAGAUUAAGAGUGAUAACACUCUUCUGAUGGAGAUGAUUGCAGAGAGAGGAGCAGUUGAUAGUUAGUUGAUGGAAUUACAUUCUAUUCAUGGAAUGAUGCAUUGAGAUUGAAAGAUUUGUUUUCGACAUAUCCCAAGAACUCACAAGAUUAUAGCGACAAGAUUCACUGAGGUCCAAGUAUUUAAAAAUCCACUUUAUUUUGUACAAGAUUUAGAACAAGCAGAUUACAUUAGCGUUACACAGACUAAUACGUUAUCUUAAUAGUAUUAUUUUAAUUUACGAAAAUAAUAAUAAUGGAGCCCAUGCAUGGUUUUGGAAUCUUUUCUAUGUCACAGCUCUGGGGAUGGGGUCAAGACACAACUAUCCUUUUUUGAGGUCAAAUAAAUCUCAAUUAGUUUUUUUAACCCUCUGUAUAUUUAUCUAAUAAAAUUUUGAUAUAAAAUUUUCCACAUUUCAUAAUGAUCGAAGAAGUGUAAAAAAAAAAGUUGAUAAAAAGUUUAUAAUUCAAAAUUGUUCCAUAUCUUGGAUUAUUUACCUGAAAAUUUGAUAUGUUAUAUAAAAAUUUAUUUUAUGAUCAAUAUAUAUCAAGAAAAAAAAUUGAUUAAAAAUAUCCACCAAAAUGAUAAGAAUGUACAUAAUUCAAAAUUUUAAACAUCUUAUUUUUAAACUGAUAUUCCUAUGUAAAUUAUAUAUUUUAAAAUAUGUUUUUAAUACUGAUAUUUCUUAAGAAAUUUGUUUCUAAAUUAAAUAUUUUUUUUUCAGAAUUAUCUUAAAAUUUUUGAAAUUUAUGUUUGUUUAAAUAUUGAAAUAAUUUUUGAUACGCUGCUUGUGGAAAAAGAUUGACAAAAAAUAGUAAAAUAUUAAAAAAAGGACACAUACUACCAAUACACAAAAUAUAUUAUCUAUUUUAUAACAUAUUACUUAAAAUAAAUAUUUUAUUUUCACAACAAUACUAAAAAUAUAAAUUUUAGAGUAAAAAUUUUUGAAAGCGAAGCUGGUCAACUUGCCUUUAAACAAGUGGCGAAAAUGCGUCCAAAUUAUAUCAAAGUGAGAAACAGGGAGUGGGAUUCAAGAUUUUGUCGUCUGUGAUAGGCGGCCACCGAUUUAUAUCCCUCAUCAAAUAUAGAUAUAUUAAUCAUUUUUUAAAAUAUUCGAUAUUUAUAUUCAAUAUAAAUCUACCCUUGACGGAAUAGUUUAGUGUAAGCUUGGUUUAAAUCAGUUGAGGUUUCAAAUAAGGAUAGUUUGCAACUCUCCUAAUUUCUUCAUCAUUUAAAGAAAGAAACAAAAGCAUGGAUCCAAGCUUGAGAGAAGUAGCUGGAACAGGAGAUACUGAUGCCUUGUACGCUCUAAUUCGAAAGGAUCCGUACAUGUUGGAGCAUAUUGAUCAGAUUCCUUUCACCGAUACUCCACUUCACAUAGCAGCAAAUGAAGGCCAAAUUAAGUUUGCAAUGGAGAUGAUCAACUUGAAGCCUUCGUUUGGUCGGAAGCUAAACCCAGACGGGUUUAGCCCCAUGCACUUGGCCCUCAAAAUGGGGCAUACCAAGCUAGUGCUUCGACUGUUGAAGACCGAUAAAGACCUGGUUCGCGUCAAAGGAAGGGAAGGGAUGACUCCUUUCCAUUGGGCAGCUGCAGUGGGGAACUCUAAUCUUUUAUUCCACUUCCUUGAAACUUGCCCUGAAUGCGUUGAGGAUGUCACGGUUCGUAACGAGACUGCAUUACAUCUUGCUCUGAAAAACGACCACACCGACGCUUUUAAUCUCUUACAUGGAUGGCUUCGAAAGAACCGUUGUGGAGGAGGCAAGGAUUUGGAAAGAAAGGUUGUGAAUUGGAGAGAUGAUGAUGACAACACUGCGUUGCACAUUGCAGCUACAAAGCAACAACAUCAGGUAUAUAUGCAAUAUAAUGAUAAGUUGCGUUCCUUUGAUCAUUUUAUUAAUUAUGACUAUUUAUAAUAUACUAUGCAGGCAGUACAACUGUUGUUGGAGUCCUUUUAUGGGUUAGAUGCAAACGCUAAGAACUCGGAAGGUUUGACAGCUCGAGAAAUCAUAGAAAGGGUUGAAAGACAAGGGCUGAACAUGAGUGGCGCCGAAGACGAUGAUACCACCACCGCCAAGAUUGAGCGCAUUAAGAACAGAACUAGUAGGUCUGAAAGAGCAUUAGUAAAGUUGAUUCGUGCAAGGAAUGGGUUGUCAGAGAACAUGCUCAACGCAACACUGGUGGUAGCGGCGCUGGUCAUAACAGCAAUCUACCAGUCAUCUUUAAGCCCACCAAGAGGUCUUUGGCAAGGUGAUAACACUAUCCGCACCACCACCUCAAACCUUACUUCUACUACUAAAUUUACACUCUUUAACGACAAUUACGAUAUAGCAAGUUCUAGACAUGUGUUGGGUGAAGAAACAAGGAAAACUGGUACAACAAUCAUGAACCCCAACUUGUUUUUAGGGUUUUGGUUAUUCAAUUUAAUAGCAUUUGGGCUUCCAGUUCUUCUAACCGUUUUGCUUUUAUCCAAUGUACCUAGUAUUCUUCUCAUCCCGCUUUAUUAUCUAUCCGUCUCCUACUUCAACUGCAUGACAAUAAUAUCUCCUUCCUCGUUUUGGGCAAGCAUCAACUAUGUUAUCAUGUGGGCAGCAAUUGGUCUCCCGUUGCUCUUAGUUGUUAGAAGCGUAUGGUUAUGGAAGCAGCCAAAGUACAGGGAAAUCAGACAAUUACGCAGACUUUUCCGCAAGUAAAAUAAUGUUGGAACCAUUCAACGGUUGCGAAUGUCAAUGUUGUUUAUAUGUUCUCUUACGUUAUGUACUUUUUUCCAUUUUCGGUAAAAAAUUUAUGUAAUUGUUUUGGAUAAAUUUAAUAAAUAAGAUUACUUUUUCCAACAAUAUCUUUGUCCUUUGCAACAGAAAAAAAAAACAUAGAAAAACCAACCAUCCUAUUUUAUAAUUUAAAAGAAUAUUUUCCUUUUUGUAAAAAGAGAUAUUUUCGAAGUAUUGUUAAUUCAAAAUUAACAAAUUUUUUAAUAAAUCGAUAUUAUUCUCUAAAUAUUUUCUAAAAAAAAUACAAAUUCAUAAACAACAGCUAUAUUCUUUUUCGUUGUGAUUUCGGCAAUAUAAGGCCGAAUUAAAUUUGUAAAAAGGGGUUACGAAGAUUGUAUCAAGAAACGAUUAGAAGAAUAUAAAAAAAAAAACAACACAGAGAAAAAUAGCAAUUUGGAGAGGUGAUUUUCUCUUUGGGAUUUUCUUUUCAUUUUUUCCUUUUGAUUUACUGUUUUUUGCAUAAAACAAAUAGAAAAGAAAAGGAGGAACCAUACCUGGGAGGCGUGCUUCCGAAGCCCUUCCUUGUUCUGUGCAGGGUGCAGAAUGAAGGAGUAGAGGGCUUUUGGGAAGAAGCGGCGCACGCAGGAGAGGAAUAACCUAGGGGUUUUUUUUUUUUUUUUUAAACCUUUAAAUGGCUUUUAUGCAGCAUACAACACGGCACCGUUUGGAGCCUGAUCAGUGGUUUCAAAACGGUGCCGUAUAGGCCUGUACCCAUGCGCGACCCGAUCCGACCCUGAGAGGAUCCGCGCGUUUUGUAAAUGGUUUAUUUUCUCGUUUGAUCCUUCUUGUUUUUCAAAAUGUGUUUAAUUAUUUUUUUCUUUUUAAAUUCAAUCACAAGUUUUAUUUCUGUUCUAAUUUAAUCCCCUAUCUGUUAUUAGUUAUUUAUUAUUAAUUAUUUUUACUAUUAUUUUUAUUAUUGUAUAAUAUCAUUUUUAUGGUGUUAUUAUUACCAUUACAACCAUAUUUAUGCAUACAUUUUUUUUGAAAUAUACGUACAUUUUUUUAUAAUUUAUAUAUGUACAUACGUUUUUAUAUUACACAAUUUAUAUACGUAUCUUUAUAUAUAUUUAAAUACAUAUUACUUUAAUUUUCAUAAAUAUAUAUAUACAUUUACAUUUUAUAAUACAUAUACAUUUUCCAAACUUUAUAGUCCAUACGUAUAUACAUUCAUUUUCUAUAAUAUACAUAUACGUACAUUUUUUGAAAUUAUUAUAAAUAUUUUUUUUGCAUAUUUCAUUUUUUAUAUACAUAUACUUAUAUAUACAUAUUUUAAUACAUGCAUAUACAUAUUUUCAUAGUUUACUUAUAUAUUAUACUUAUACAUUUUUUAUAUUUUGUAAAUAUAAGCCGACCGAGAGGUCUUUGGCAAGGUGAUAACACGAGUAACCCCACCACCACCUCAAACCUUACUACUACCACUAAAUUUAAACUCUUUAACGACAAUUACGCUGAAAAACUUUCUAAACAUGUGUUGGGUGAAGAAACAAUGAAAACUGGUACAGCAAUCAUGAAUCCCAACUUGUUUUUAGGGUUUUGGUUAUUCAAUUUUAUAGCAUUUGGGCUUCCGGUUCUUCUAACCGUUUUCCUUUUAUAUUCUUCUUCUCCCGCUUUAUUUUCUAUCCGUCUCCUACUUUAACUGCAUGACAUUAAUAUCUCCGUCCAUGUUUUGGGCAAACCUCAACUCUGUUGUCAUGUGGGCAGCCAUUAUUCUCCCGUCUCUCUUAGUUUUUGGAGGCGUAUGGUUAUGGAUGCUGCCAAAGUACCGGGAAAUCAGACAAAUACGCAGACGUGUCCGCAAUGACAAUAAUGUCGGAAUAAUUCAAUUCAUGCGAAUGUCAGUCUAAUUUAUAUAUUAUAUUAUGUACUCUUUUCCAUUUUCUCUGUAUUAAUAUCUUUUCUUUUUGAAAAAAAAACACUAUGUAAUUGCUUUGGAUAAAUUUAAUAAAAACAGAUAUAUUUGAAGUAUUGUUUGUUUAAAAUCGACUGAUUUCUAAAUGUGUUAUAUUACUUUCGAGUUAUUAAUUAAAAAUAUCUUUAACAUAAAGAUAUAUGUAAUAGUUACAUAUUUAUUAUUUUAUUUAUAUAAUAAAAAAGUUAUUGAUUAAAAAGAUGAAUUAAAAAAUUAAAAAAUAAUAUAUUUAUUAAUUAAAAAGCACUAUUUUUUAAAAUAACAUGAGAUAAAAAUAUAAAUAUGCGUAGGAGAUGAAUUAAAACCGAGUCUCAAAAAUAAAAUUACUAACAUUUAACUUUUUGAUCAAAUGAAUUAAUGCGUCAAGUUAUUAAAAAUAUAUAUAUUUUAUCCUACAAGACGCAUUUUAUAUUUCUUUCUCUAAAAUCAACUUAUUUCUAUAAAUAUUAAAAAAAUCUACCUAAUACUCUAAUUAUUUUCUAAAAAGGACAUAUAUUGCUAGUAUACCCUAAAACUAGGAAGGGUGCCUGUGGUGCGCCACGCUUUCUAAAGCAAAUAAUAAUAAUAAUAAUAAUAAUAAUAAUAAUAAUAAUAAUACAUUAACCUAAAUUUCAUGAGAGUUUGGUGUCCCUUUUCUUAAUUCUAAAAAAAUAAAAUCUCUCAAAUAAAAAUAAUAAAUAAAAUAAUCUUAAGUCUCGUAUGCGAAAUUGAGUUUUUGUGUCAAAUUUUUUGUGUAAUUUGUAUAUUCGUUAGUUUCCGACUUAUUGAACAAUAAUUGUAUUUAUAUAGAAAUGAUAAAUUAAGUAAAAUUCAUGUCCAAAAUUAAUUAAAAUAAAUAAUAAAAAUAUAUCAAUUAAGCACAUUAUCAUCUAUAUUUUAUAAUAUUAACUAAUUUAACUAUCAUUUAAAUAUAUAUUAUCUACUUUAACAUAAAUAUUUUAUCUUUUAAAAAAUACUCUUCUUUUUUUUAAAAAAAAAAAAAACAAAGACCGGACAUAUUUAUUGAAGUAAUACAACAACAUUGUAGAAAUGAGAAUAAAAAACAAAAAACAGCCAAAUAAAUAUAAACCCUAGGACUUAAAACAUUUUUCAUCUAAAAACAAGAAUAUUAAAAUAGUGAAAAACCUCCAAAUUUACCGUUAUCUACAUCCAUUACUAAUCGUAGACGGUGACAAAGACAUUCGACAGAUGAUAAGCAUUAAAAAUUACUCUUUUAACUACAAUACUAAAAGCGUCCGCAAACCAUUUUUCAAUAAAGAUAUUAAUCAAGCCGGAUUAAUUUAGAGUUAAAUCGAGUAAGUCUAAGGGUGGAUUUGGAUGGGUGAUUGGGUGCUGUGCGGUACGUUUAGUUUACUUUUUGUCUCACGCUAUAGUAUCGCUACAGUAUCUAAUCUUACCGCCAUCGCUAUUUUUACACUAACCGCAGGUAAACCCACCGCCUAUCCAAACUCACUCUAGAUUAAGUCCGUAGAUGAAUUUCCACAUCUUUUUUUAGGCAUUAAAUUGAGAGCCAAUCAAACCUUCCCCUAAUUCCCCUUACCAAUCUAUAAAAAAUUGGAUCUUUGGUUUGAUUUUAUCAAUAAUAAAUUUGAUAACUUUUAUCAUUAUCAUUAUUUUGUUCACUUUUCAUCAAUAAUGAGAUCAAUUGUUUCGCUAAUAGAAUAGAAAAUAGAUAGUUGCUUCCUAUUUCAGCAAUAUUAUAAUGGUACCAUGUGUUUUUAUGUUUUUAAUUUUUAAUAUAAUUAAAGGAUGCAUUGUAAUGUAAAGAAUAAUAAUUCUAAUUAUCUAUGCUUAAAAUUAAUUCAGUUGUGCUUUCAAUCAAUGUAUGAUUUUGAUAUUGCAAGAGGUGUCCAGCUAUGUGGUGAGAUCUUGAAGGUGUGUCUUUGUAACAACUUGAGAAGCUUUUUGGAUUUUUUUUCUUCUUCUUUUAGGUUUAUUAUUAGUAAAUGAAUUUUUGCUGCAAAAAAUUAGCUUAAAAACAAAAUAUAAAAAUGAUAGGAAAUAUGUUAAUUUUAUACAACGACAAUUAAUGACAUUGCAAUAUAUUACUUAACAACAUGAACAAUCCCCACCAUCGUAUUGUCAUUCCCAAGUAAUGGCGUAUUCUCUUUACUUGGAAAAUAUCCCUCCUAACGCUGGCCGAAAUUGGUUGAAACAUUAUGCAGCUCAUUUGGUAAGAUAAUGGACGUGUUUAUUGCAUCAAAAAGAAAUAGAAGAGGUCGUCGGUUUUGUUUCGUUAGGUAUGGUAGGUUGGAAGAAGCAAAGAGAGCAUUGUGGAGUCUAGAUGGAAGGUGGUUCUCUAAUCAUAGAUUGACAGUCAGUAUGGCGAAGUUUAUACCUAGAGAUGAUUUGUGGAGGAAGGCAAAUGGGAGAGAGAUCAGACAACAUACAUAGAAUAUGGAAAGAAGAUGUGUUGAAGGAAAUACGGGACCGCAUGUAGGGAAGAAUGCAAGUGAGAUUAUGGCAAAUAAUAAACAACAUGAAGAAAAUGACCCAAUCAAGUUGGACGAGAUGGUGGAAGAUUUAUGAAUUUCCAGAACAAAGUAGUAGAGGGAGCCAUUGAUGGAGAGAACUUGAAGUGGCUUGAAAAAUGUAUUGUGGGUAGAAUGAGAAACAAUGCUACUGUGGGGUUAUGGGGUGAUACUGGAAUUUAUAAAAUUGGAGUCAAAAGAUUAUCGGAUAAUGAUUUGUAUGAAUUGGAAGCCAAUGAAUGGGGAGAUGUUUUGUAAGUGUUCAGAAAGUUGAACGGUGGACCACAAAGAUGAAAGAUUAAGGUGGUUAUCCUGUUACGAGAUUCCAAUACAUGCUUGGUCUUCGAGGAGGAAGUAGUUAAACAACUUGCUGGCUUGCUGCUAUUGAAUAUUAUAAUUGGUUUGAUUUAUUAUUUUUGGUACAAACAAUCAAGACUCAAACAGUCAAUCGACUGUCGGAUAGAGCACGUGCAAAACCAACCUAACAUAUGAGAAUAUAUCCAGAAGAAGAAACUUAUCCAAGUCCAACCCCCCACAAGUUGCCAAUCGGCUCAUCCCAUUGACCUUUCCACACCUUCGAAUUGAUUGGUGCAAUGCGAGGUCCAAUAUUGGAAGGAGAAUGGAAUCUAAACCGUGGGACCACACUUAAGCCGGCGUCCUAAAUGACUAGAUGCGUGGAAGACGGUGGGUAUUCUUUCACCCAAUAACAUCACUACAUAUACACAAACCAUGUCUGCCCAUCUUGUGGGCUACUUGUGAUAAAACAGGAAAACAAUGAAAAAUAAUAAUAUAAAGAAGAGAAACAAAAUCCACACCUAAUAUAAUUUUUCCUAAAUACAAGAAAACAAGUUUUGGGAUAAAAAAUCAUAUCGAAGAUUAAAGGAUUCAAUUCAUUUAGACUUGAAUGUUAAUUGAAUGAUUAAACAUUCAAAUCUCGUUAAAUUCAUGAACAGCUUUUCAUUAGAUAGAAUAUUCUCUAUUUCUUAAAUUUAAUUCUUUUAUAUUAAGAUCUGUUUGAGACAUUAAAAAUUGGUUUAAUUUACCAAAAUAAUAAUAAUGAGGCCCAUGGUUUUGGAAUCUUUUCUAUGUCACAGCUAUGGGGAUGGGGUCAAGACACAGCUGUCCUUUUUUGAGGUCAAAUAAAUUGAUUAAAAAUAUCCACCAAAAUGAUAAGAAUGUACAUAAUUCAUCUUAUUUUUAAACUGAUAUUCCUAAGUAUAUUAUAUAUUUUUAAUACUGAUAUUUCUUAAUAAAUUUGUUUCUAAAUUAAAUAUUUUUUUUCAAAAUCAUCUUAAAGUUUUUGAAACUUAUGUUUGUUUAAAUAUUAAAAUAAUUUUUAAUACACUGCUUGUGGAAAAAGUUUGACAAAAUAUAAUAAAAUAUCAAAAAAAAGACGCAUACCAAUACACAAAAUAUAUUAUCUAUUUUAUAACAUAUUAUUUAAAAUAAAUAUUUUAUUUUCUAAAAGUAAUUUUUUACCGCAAUACCAAAAAUAUAAAUUUUAGAGUAAAAUUUCUGAAAGCGAAGCUGGUCAACUUGCCUUGAAACAGAUGGCGAAAAUGAGUCCAAAUUAUAUCGGAGCGAGAAACAGGGAGUGGGAUUCAAGAUUUUGACGUACUGUAUAGGCGGCCACCGAUUUAUAUCCCUCGUCAUAUAUAGAUAUAUUAAUCAUUUUUUAAAAUAUUCGAUAUUUAUAUUCAAUAUAAAUCUACCCUUGACGGAUUAAUUAGUUUAGUGCAAGCUUGGUUUAAAUCAGUUGAGGUUGCAAAUAAGGAUAGUCAGUUUGCAACUCUCCUAAUUUUUUCAUCAUUUAAAGAAAGAAACAAAAGCAUGGAUCCAAGCUUGAGAGAAGUAGCUGGAACAGGAGAUACUGAUGCCUUGUACGCUCUAAUUCGAAAGGAUCCGUACAUGUUGGAGCAUAUUGAUCAGAUUCCUUUCAUCGAUACUCCACUUCACAUAGCAGCAAAUGAAGGUCAAAUUAAGUUUGCAAUGGAGAUGAUCAACUUGAAGCCUUCGUUUGGUCGGAAGCUAAACCAAGACGGGUUUAGCCCCAUGCACUUGGCCCUCCAAAUGGGGCAUACCAAGCUAGUGCUUCGACUGUUGAAGACCGAUAAAGACCUGGUUCGCGUCAAAGGAAGGGAAGGGAUGACCCCUUUCCAUUGUGCAGCUGCAGUGGGGAACUCUAAUCUUUUAUUCCACUUCCUUGAAACUUGCCCUGAAUGCGUUGAGGAUGUCACGGUUCGUAACGAGACUGCAUUACAUCUUGCUCUGAAAAACGACCACACCGACGCUUUUAAUCUCUUACAUGGAUGGCUUCGAAAAAACCGUCGUGGAGGAGGCAAUGGUUUGGAAAGAAAGGUUGUGAAUUGGAGAGAUGAUGAUGACAACACUGUGUUGCACAUUGCAGCUACAAAGCAACAACAUCAGGUAUAUAUGCAAUAUAAUGAUAAGUUGCGUUCCUUUGAUCAUUUUAUUAAUGAUUAUUUAUAAUAUUCUACGCAGGCAGUACAACUGUUGUUGGAUUCCUUUUAUGGGUUAGAUGCAAACGCUAAGAAUUCGGAAGGCUUGACAGCUCGAGAAAUCAUAGAAAGGGUUGAAAGACAAGGGUUGAACAUGAGUGGCGCCGAAGACGAUGAUACCACCACCGCCAAGAUUGAGCGCAUUAAGAAAAGAACUAGUAGGUCUGAAAGAGCAUUAGUAAAGUUGAUUCGGGCAAGGAAUGGGUUGUCAGAGAACAUGCUCAACGCAACACUGGUGGUAGCGGCGCUGGUCAUAACAGCAAUCUACCAGUCAUCUUUAAGUCCACCAAGAGGUCUUUGGCAAGGUGAUAACACUAGUAUCCCCACCACCACCUCAAACCUUACUACUACUACUAAAUUUAAACUCUUUAACGACAAUUACAGUGAGUAUCGUUUUAAAUUUCUGUUGGGUGAAGAAACAAGGAAAACCGGUACUGCAGUCAUGAAUCCCAACUUGUUUUUAGGGUUUUGGUUUUUCAAUUUUAUAGCAUUUGGGCUUCCAGUUCUUCUAACCGUUUUGCUUUUAUCCAAUGUACCUAGUAUUCUUCUCAUCCCGCUUUAUUAUCUAUCCGUCUCCUACUUUAACUGCAUGACAAUAGUAUCUCCUUCCACGUUUUGGGCAAACCUCAACUUUGUUGUCAUGUGGACAGCCAUUCUUCUCCCGUUGCUCUUAGUUGUUAGAAGCGUAUGGUUAUCGAAGCAGCCAAAGUACAGGGAAAUCAGACAAUUACG
RNAcentral lists this long non-coding RNA (14560 nucleotides) under Gossypium raimondii (Peruvian cotton). RNAcentral's name for it is "long non-coding RNA (GRAI_LNC003330)". The record is from RNAcentral. Lineage: Eukaryota; Viridiplantae; Streptophyta; Magnoliopsida; Malvales; Malvaceae.